GACGAACGCUGGCGGCGUGCCUAAUACAUGCAAGUCGAGCGCAGGAGAUCGACGGAACCCUUCGGGGGGAAGUCGACGGAAUGAGCGGCGGACGGGUGAGUAACACGUAAAGAACCUGUCCUCAGGUCUGGGAUAACCACGAGAAAUCGGGGCUAAUACCGGAUGGGUCAUCGGACCGCAUGGUCCGAGGGUGAAAGGCGCUUCGGCGUCGCCUGGGGAUGGCUUUGCGGUGCAUUAGCUAGUUGGUGGGGUAAUGGCCCACCAAGGCGACGAUGCAUAGCCGACCUGAGAGGGUGAUCGGCCACACUGGGACUGAGACACGGCCCAGACUCCGACGGGAGGCGGCAGUAGGGAAUCUUCCACAAUGGACGGAAGUCUGAUGGAGCAACGCCGCGUGAACGAUGAAGGCCUUCGGGUCGUAAAGUUCUGUUGUAAGGGAAGAACAAGUGCCGCAGGCAAUGGCGGCACCUUGACGGUACCUUGCGAGAAAGCCACGGCUAACUACGUGCCAGCCGCCGCAGUAA
This 524-nucleotide ribosomal RNA is filed under the name uncultured bacterium. RNAcentral's name for it is "partial 16S ribosomal RNA". It matches the Rfam family "Bacterial small subunit ribosomal RNA", at positions 28 to 523 of the family's 1533-position model. The record is from RNAcentral.